ACAAGCGGUGGAGCAUGUGGUUAAUUCGAAGCAACGCGAAGAACCUUACCAGGUCUUGACAUCCCCUGACAACCCGAGAGAUCGGGCGUUCCCCUUCGGGGGGACAGGGUGACAGGUGGUGCAUGGUUGUCGUCAGCUCGUGUCGUGAGAUGCUGGGUUAAGUCCCGCAACGAGCGCAACCCUCGACCUUAGUUGCCAGCAUUCAGUUGGGCACUCUAAGGUGACUGCCGGCUAAAAGUCGGAGGAAGGUGGGGAUGACGUCAAAUCAUCAUGCCCCUUAUGACCUGGGCUACACACGUGCUACAAUGGGCGGUACAAAGGGUCGCGAACCCGCGAGGGGGAGCCAAUCCCAAAAAGCCGCUCUCAGUUCGGAUUGCAGGCUGCAACUCGCCUGCAUGAAGCCGGAAUCGCUAGUAAUCGCGGAUCAGCAUGCCGCGGUGAAUACGUUCCCGGGCCUU
This 458-nucleotide ribosomal RNA is filed under the name uncultured Anoxybacillus sp. RNAcentral describes it as "bacterial SSU rRNA". It matches the Rfam family "Bacterial small subunit ribosomal RNA", at positions 925 to 1382 of the family's 1533-position model. The record is from RNAcentral. Lineage: Bacteria; Bacillati; Bacillota; Bacilli; Caryophanales; Anoxybacillaceae.